Molecule: ribosomal RNA, 468 nt
Filed under: uncultured bacterium
Lineage: Bacteria
Description: partial 16S ribosomal RNA
Rfam family: Bacterial small subunit ribosomal RNA
Source: RNAcentral
GACGAACGCUGGCGGCGUGCUUAACACAUGCAAGUCGAACGGAAAGGCCCUGCUUUUGUGGGGUGCUCGAGUAGCGAACGGGUGAGUAACACGUGAGUAACCUGCCCUUGACUUUGGGAUAACUUCAGGAAACUGGGGCUAAUACCGGAUAGGAGCUCCUGCUGCAUGGUGGGGGUUGGAAAGUUUCGGCGGUUGGGGAUGGACUCGCGGCUUAUCAGCUUGUUGGUUGGGUAGUGGCUUACCAAGGCUUUGACGGGUAGCCGGCCUGAGAGGGUGACCGGCCACACUGGGCCUGAGAUACGGCCCAGACUCCUACGGGAGGCAGCAGUGGGGAAUAUUGCACAAUGGGCGGAAGCCAGAUGCAGCAACGCCGCGUGCGGGAUGACGGCCUUCGGGUUGUAAACCGCUUUCGCCUGUGACGAAGCGUGAGUGACGGUAAUGGGUAAAGAAGCACCGGCUAACUACGUG